This is a long non-coding RNA of Panicum virgatum (switchgrass), 1449 nucleotides long. RefSeq lists it as uncharacterized. The transcript has 3 exons. Lineage: Eukaryota; Viridiplantae; Streptophyta; Magnoliopsida; Poales; Poaceae. The record is from RefSeq and is a predicted model, not a curated record.
GAGGGGAAGAUUGACAUGAUGUGGCAAAAUCAUCCAUCUUUCUUCACACACCUUAAACUGUUAUGAUCCUGACAUGAUGGUCUGUGCUACCAAUUCCAUGCUUUGUAACUAACCAGUUGAUGAAUGGUGUUUAUUAAGAUUUAAGAAGUUAUUUCUACUAUUUGAGUUCCAAGGUUUCACACUGGCUGCUGUAGAAUACGACUCUUGGUAUCAAUGAAAAGGUACUCAAAAUCAUGGACAAAGCAAAUCAGUACUUACUCCAAUGCUUAUUGGUUGGUGAUUUUGUAUUUAAGACAAAUGUCUAUGUUUUUUUGGGAAUAGGAAACAUGGCUUUUGUUAGUGCGAGAUACACGUUGAGCUGUUACACUAGAAAGAUUAUACUGAUAAUGUUGUUGACAAGCUUAACGAUAAUGAUUUUGUACUUUAGUUUGUAUCUAACUUUAUCUUGUGGAUCUAAGAAAGAACGAUAUGCUCUUUUUGUUGGUGAUAUAUAUUUUAGGUGUAUGCUACUUUCCAAGAUGCUGAAACAUACUUUAUUUGCUGGUUGAUUUGGCUAUUUUCCUUUUUCAGAAAAUUAUUGUCGCCAAAGCUCUGAAAUUUGAUGAUGUUGAGCCAGGAAGAUAUACGCUGGAUUGUUUACCUUUGAGGUUGGUUUGGAGCUGAGGGCUCUCAUGCCAGAUGCAUUGUUAUCAAAUGACAGCCUUUUCCCCCUCUAAGGUGACUACUAAGCCAGGAGCAGACAGCUACAUGUUCAUAUGGUACACUGUAUAGAUAUGUUGUGCCUACUCAAGUGACUUGCGGCAUCUUAUAGUUUGGCUGCAUCCAUGCCUUUUAGAAAUGGGAGACACAAAGUAGUAGUCCACUAGUCCCUGGUCCCAGCAUCUCAGGCUCCUCCAGUUGCAUACAGAGAUAGAAGGAAGACUCUCAACAGUUGAGAUCUCACAAAUGUUUUCCAGGGCUGCUUUUUCUGGUCUCUGGGUGAGUGCAGCCAUUGCACGCGUGCUCAGACAGACCGGAGCACAAGAAGAAAGACUCUGCGCUCCAGGGCUGCACAUAACAAAGCUGUGGUGGUUAAAAUGCCAACGCAGACUUGGCACUGAUUCUUUUCAGCCUUGUUCUGUCUAUAAGUUUUCCCCUGGUGGUGAUUGCUGAAGAACGAAGUUGGUAGACUGACCUAACCUCGGAGCAGGUGGGGAAAAAAAUCAUUUCAGCAUGUAACAUCAUUGGGUCCGUGUGUUAAAUUAUUGACGCCUAUAUUGGUUAAUGAUGACUGAUGAGUCCAUGCAAUUGCAUGUGUGUUUACACACCAUUCCUUGUGUCCUGGUGUCAAAGUCGUAGGUGGCGCCUUAUAGGGGCUAGCAAAUCUGGGUAGGCUCUUGGGUGGAUCUGAGUUGUUAUAUAUGACAAAAUCUGUCUAACCUGAUUGUCUCAACCUGCCCCUGUUCUGUA